This 73-nucleotide transfer RNA is filed under the name Paramuricea clavata. It matches the Rfam family "tRNA". From Rfam's summary of the family: Transfer RNA (tRNA) molecules are approximately 80 nucleotides in length. Their secondary structure includes four short double-helical elements and three loops (D, anti-codon, and T loops). The record is from Rfam by way of RNAcentral. Lineage: Eukaryota; Metazoa; Cnidaria; Anthozoa; Malacalcyonacea; Plexauridae.
GACCGCGUAGCUCAGUUGGAAGAGCAUUGGGCUAGUAUUCCAAAGGUCGUAGGUUCGAAUCCGACAGUGGCCG